RNAcentral lists this ribosomal RNA (304 nucleotides) under uncultured bacterium. Its description in RNAcentral is "partial 16S ribosomal RNA". It matches the Rfam family "Bacterial small subunit ribosomal RNA", at positions 509 to 807 of the family's 1533-position model. The record is from RNAcentral.
CAGCAGUCGCCGCGGGAAUACGUAGGGUGCAAGCGUUAAUCGGAAUUACUGGUCGUAAAGCGUGCGCAGGCGGUUCUAUAAGACAGAUGUGAAAUCCCCGGGCUCAACCUGGGAACUGCAUUUGUGACUGUAGAGCUGGGGUGCGGCAGAGGGGGAUGGAAUUCCGCGUGUAGCAGUGAAAUGCGUAGAUAUGCGGAGGAACACCGAUGGCGAAGGCAAUCCCCUGGGCCUGCACUGACGCUCAUGCACGAAAGCGUGGGGAGCAAACAGGAUUAGAUACCCCCGUAGUCCCUGUCUCUUAUAC